This 425-nucleotide ribosomal RNA is filed under the name uncultured bacterium. RNAcentral's name for it is "partial 16S ribosomal RNA". It matches the Rfam family "Bacterial small subunit ribosomal RNA", at positions 354 to 796 of the family's 1533-position model. The record is from RNAcentral.
GUGGGGAAUCUUAGACAAUGGGCGCAAGCCUGAUCUAGCCAUGCCGCGUGAGCGAUGAAGGCCUUAGGGUUGUAAAGCUCUUUCGUGGGGGAAGAUAAUGACUGUACCCCAAGAAGAAGCCCCGGCUAACUCCGUGCCAGCAGCCGCGGUAAUACGGAGGGGGCUAGCGUUGUUCGGAAUUACUGGGCGUAAAGCGCACGUAGGCGGACCAGAAAGUCAGAGGUGAAAGCCCGGGGCUCAACCCCGGAACUGCCUUUGAAACUCCUGGUCUUGAGGUCGAGAGAGGUGGGUGGAAUUCCGAGUGUAGAGGUGAAAUUCGUAGAUAUUCGGAGGAACACCAGUGGCGAAGGCGGCCCACUGGCUCGAUACUGACGCUGAGGUGCGAAAGCGUGGGGAGCAAACAGGAUUAGAAACCCGAGUAGUCC